CAAUGGAUUGCUAUCAAGCACUUCAAUAAGUCUAAUUGACAUGAUUUUUACUAUUCUUUGUUAGUAUUUAGUGUUUACUAUUUUCUUAUCAAUCAGAAGAUCGUCAUUAAUUUCGUGUUAUUGUUUUUUGGUCGGUUAUUAUAGCAUGAAGCCAAGGCAGUGGGGAACCUGAGAAGUGAGCAAUUGUUAAUUUGAUAAGUUGUUGCUAUGAGGAAGGGGCAAGACUACUUGUAGCAGAAUUUAUGCCUAACGAAAUUCUGGCAAAACAUUUAUUUCAUUUAGAGUUUUGUAUAUAUGUAUAUUACUAUUACAGAAUUACUGCAAUUUACAUUACAUCUCGGUCGUGGAUAUUUUUCGAAUAAAUAGAACACUGAAUAUGUGUGGAGCCUAAUCAUAUUGUAUAGGUAGUAGAAAUUUAUGUCUUAGUUUAUUUUCUGAUUGCAUUCUUUUUCAGAAAGCUUAGUCACUAAAAUAAAAUAAUGGUAAAUUUGAUCAUGUAUACAUAUGCAGUCAUUUCUCAUAUGCACACUGAUUUUGAGAUCUAAUUUGAUUUAGUGAAGUGUUCUUGGAUAUAUCCCAUGCUUUCUAGGCCAAAUUGGUUUUGUAUGGAUAGUGUUCUAAUAUAUUUUAGUGGUUAUAUUGGUAUAGAGAAGCAACCCAUGAAAUGAGAACUGAGGUUGUGGGUGGCUCUGUAUUUGGCACAACCUCUAGACUACUGCAGUAGUCGUGGACAGACAUUGUACCACGAUCUUAAUGCUUACAGAGUCUUGUUUGAUAAGGUAAAAUUUGCAAUAUGUAAGUUAAGAUUUUCCUUCCAAAACUGAAUGUUUUGUGGUCUUCUAUUCAUUCACUAGCCAUACAGGAUGGGAAUCCUCUGCUCUCCUGCUUUGUCCAGAUGAAGAAUAGUCGAGAUGGCUAAAGUUACAGUACAAACUUAGCUUUCACUCCUCCAGAGUUCUCGAGAACUGGUAUAUAAUUGUGAUUUCUCUAUGAAGUGGUAAUAUUGCCCUACGAAUCUCUCAGUACAUGUGAAGUUGGAUACCAAGGUUACGAAGAUGCUCGACAAAUUACACUUGUAAUUUGCAUGCACAUCUGCACAAUUAGUGUUCUUCUUGAACUACUGUAUUAAGUUAUGGAAUAAACUACUUUGUACAAAUAAGAAAUGAUAUUAUAUAUGCAGCUACGUAAGUUUAACUUUUGGUAAUUUAUCUUCGAUGUUUGGCACGAAGAAUGACUUCAGAAAGUGUAGUUUAAGCUUUAUAACAAUGCUACUAGAUCUUCUAAGUGGCAAGCAUAUAG
This 1299-nucleotide long non-coding RNA is filed under the name Olea europaea subsp. europaea. Lineage: Eukaryota; Viridiplantae; Streptophyta; Magnoliopsida; Lamiales; Oleaceae. The record is from RNAcentral.